Molecule: long non-coding RNA, 403 nt
Organism: Harpia harpyja (harpy eagle)
Lineage: Eukaryota; Metazoa; Chordata; Aves; Accipitriformes; Accipitridae
Exons: 3
Source: RefSeq, a predicted model, not a curated record
GCGGGCGGCCUUGCCCGGUGGCCCCGGGUCCCGGGGCUCCGCGGCGGGGCUUCGGGGGGCUCCGGUUCUAGGUAUUUCUGCACACCCAAAUCCUUCUGUUGGCAGGUCGCAGGGUGUUGUUCCAGUCCCACUCCUCCCCGCGUUCCCUUUGCUCUGGACACCGAGGCCUGGGAUCCCAGACCAAGGCCAGGAAUAAUCAGCAGGCCAGGAAGACGCUGGUAAUGACAGGACAGGGCCGUUCCCUCAACCCCAGCUGAGCGUCACCAGGUGAGUCAGGAAGCUGGAAGACAAGGUGUUCAGCAAACACAGUCGCUUUGCUAUUUAUAUAUCGCCACAGUAUUACUCAGAGCUGUACUGUAUGCAAAGAUUUGUAGACUAAUAGAGUACCUUUGCACCAAAAAAA